GCUCCGUUGGCCUGAUGGCAGAGCGUCCGCCUCGGAUGCGGGAUUUCGCGGGUUCGAACCCCGGUCGAGCC
Molecule: non-coding RNA, 71 nt
Organism: Potamilus streckersoni
Lineage: Eukaryota; Metazoa; Mollusca; Bivalvia; Unionida; Unionidae
Source: the annotation of a GenBank genome assembly